RNAcentral lists this transfer RNA (46 nucleotides) under Canis lupus familiaris (dog). Its description in RNAcentral is "partial tRNA-Arg". The record is from RNAcentral. Lineage: Eukaryota; Metazoa; Chordata; Mammalia; Carnivora; Canidae.
AUGAUAAUUAGUUUAAGCCAAAAACAAAUGAUUUCGACUCAUUAGA